This 494-nucleotide ribosomal RNA is filed under the name uncultured bacterium. RNAcentral's name for it is "partial 16S ribosomal RNA". It matches the Rfam family "Bacterial small subunit ribosomal RNA", at positions 28 to 507 of the family's 1533-position model. The record is from RNAcentral.
GACGAACGCUGGCGGCGUGCUUAACACAUGCAAGUCGAACGGAAAGGCCUGCUUUCCCUUGUGGUUUGCGGGUACUCGAGUGGCGAACGGGUGAGUAACACGUGAGUGAUCUGCCCCCAACUUGGGUAUAAGCCUGGGAAACUGGGUCUAAUUCCCGAUAGGACUGCAGGGUUGUGCCUGUGGUGGAAGACGUUCUUCUAGUGGUUGGGGAUGAGCUCGCGGCUUAUCAGCUUGUUGGGGGGGUAAUGGCCUACCAAGGCGGCGACGGGUAGCCGGCCUGGGAGCGUGGACGGCCACAUUGGGACUGGGUUACGGCUCAGACGGCUGCGGGAGGCAGGAGUGGGGAAUAAUGCGGAAUGGGCGGAAGGGUGAUGCAGCGACGGCGCGAGGGGGAUGUCGGGCUUGGGGUUGUAAACUCCUUGCGACCGCGAGGAAGCCACCUAGUUGGAAGGGUGGUGACGGUAGUGGUAGAAGAAGCACCGGCUAACUACGUG